GAUGAACGCUGGCGGCGUGCCUAAUACAUGCAAGUCGAGCGAACGGACGAGAAGCUUGCUUCUCUGAUGUUAGCGGCGGACGGGUGAGUAACACGUGGAUAACCUACCUAUAAGACUGGGAUAACUUCGGGAAACCGUAGCUAAUACCGGAUAAUAUUUUGAACCGCAUGGUUCAAAAGUGAAAGACGGUCUUGCUGUCACUUAUAGAUGGAUUCGCGCUGCAUUAGCUAGUUGGUAAGGUAACGGCUUACCAAGGCAACGAUGCAUAGCCGACCUGAGAGGGUGAUCGGCCACACUGGAACUGAGACACGGUCCAGACUCCUACGGGAGGCAGCAGUAGGGAAUCUUCCGCAAUGGGCGAAAGCCUGACGGAGCAACGCCGCGUGAGUGAUGAAGGUCUUCGGAUCGUAAAACUCUGUUAUUAGGGAAGAACAAAUGUGUAAGUAACUGUGCACAUCUUGACGGUACCUAAUCAGAAAGCCACGGCUAACUACGUG
RNAcentral lists this ribosomal RNA (497 nucleotides) under uncultured bacterium. RNAcentral describes it as "partial 16S ribosomal RNA". It matches the Rfam family "Bacterial small subunit ribosomal RNA", at positions 28 to 507 of the family's 1533-position model. The record is from RNAcentral.